GGCGAACGCUGGCGGCGUGCUUAACACAUGCAAGUCGAACGGAAAGGCCCUGCUUUUGUGGGGUGCUCGAGUGGCGAACGGGUGAGUAACACGUGAGUAACCUGCCCUUGACUUUGGGAUAACUUCAGGAAACUGGGGCUAAUACCGGAUAGGAGCUCCUGCUGCAUGGUGGGGGUUGGAAAGUUUCGGCGGUUGGGGAUGGACUCGCGGCUUAUCAGCUUGUUGGUGGGGUAGUGGCUUACCAAGGCUUUGACGGGUAGCCGGCCUGAGAGGGUGACCGGCCACAUUGGGACUGAGAUACGGCCCAGACUCCUACGGGAGGCAGCAGUGGGGAAUAUUGCACAAUGGGCGGAAGCCUGAUGCAGCAACGCCGCGGGCGGGAUGACGGCCUUCGGGUUGUAAACCGCUUUCGCCUGUGACGAAGCGUGAGUGACGGUAAUGGGUAAAGAAGCACCGGCUAACUACGUGC
RNAcentral lists this ribosomal RNA (469 nucleotides) under uncultured bacterium. RNAcentral describes it as "partial 16S ribosomal RNA". It matches the Rfam family "Bacterial small subunit ribosomal RNA", at positions 28 to 508 of the family's 1533-position model. The record is from RNAcentral.